UUAGUAGCGGCGAGCGAAACGGGAAGAGCCCAAACCAACAAGCUUGCUUGUUGGGGUUGUAGGACACUCUAUACGGAGUUACAAAGGACGACAUUAGACGAAUCAUCUGGAAAGAUGAAUCAAAGAAGGUAAUAAUCCUGUAGUCGAAAAUGUUGUCUCUCUUGAGUGGAUCCUGAGUACGACGGAGCACGUGAAAUUCCGUCGGAAUCUGGGAGGACCAUCUCCUAAGGCUAAAUACUCUCUAGUGACCGAUAGUGAACCAGUACCGUGAGGGAAAGGUGAAAAGCACCCCGGAAGGGGAGUGAAAUAGAACCUGAAACCGUGUGCUUACAAGUAGUCAGAGCCCGUUAAUGGGUGAUGGCGUGCCUUUUGUAGAAUGAACCGGCGAGUUACGAUUUGAUGCAAGGUUAAGCAGUAAAUGUGGAGCCGUAGCGAAAGCGAGUCUGAAUAGGGCGUUUAGUAUUUGGUCGUAGACCCGAAACCAGGUGAUCUACCCUUGGUCAGGUUGAAGUUCAGGUAACACUGAAUGGAGGACCGAACCGACUUACGUUGAAAAGUGAGCGGAUGAACUGAGGGUAGCGGAGAAAUUCCAAUCGAACCUGGAGAUAGCUGGUUCUCUCCGAAAUAGCUUUAGGGCUAGCCUCAAGUGAUGAUUAUUGGAGGUAGAGCACUGUUUGGACGAGGGGCCCCUCUCGGGUUACCGAAUUCAGACAAACUCCGAAUGCCAAUUAAUUUAACUUGGGAGUCAGAACAUGGGUGAUAAGGUCCGUGUUCGAAAGGGAAACAGCCCAGACCACCAGCUAAGGUCCCAAAAUAUAUGUUAAGUGGAAAAGGAUGUGGCGUUGCCCAGACAACUAGGAUGUUGGCUUAGAAGCAGCCAUCAUUUAAAGAGUGCGUAAUAGCUCACUAGUCGAGUGACACUGCGCCGAAAAUGUACCGGGGCUAAACAUAUUACCGAAGCUGUGGAUUGUCCUUUGGACAAUGGUAGGAGAGCGUUCUAAGGGCGUUGAAGCAUGAUCGUAAGGACAUGUGGAGCGCUUAGAAGUGAGAAUGCCGGUGUGAGUAGCGAAAGACGGGUGAGAAUCCCGUCCACCGAUUGACUAAGGUUUCCAGAGGAAGGCUCGUCCGCUCUGGGUUAGUCGGGUCCUAAGCUGAGGCCGACAGGCGUAGGCGAUGGAUAACAGGUUGAUAUUCCUGUACCACCUAUAAUCGUUUUAAUCGAUGGGGGGACGCAGUAGGAUAGGCGAAGCGUGCGAUUGGAUUGCACGUCUAAGCAGUAAGGCUGAGUAUUAGGCAAAUCCGGUACUCGUUAAGGCUGAGCUGUGAUGGGGAGAAGACAUUGUGUCUUCGAGUCGUUGAUUUCACACUGCCGAGAAAAGCCUCUAGAUAGAAAAUAGGUGCCCGUACCGCAAACCGACACAGGUAGUCAAGAUGAGAAUUCUAAGGUGAGCGAGCGAACUCUCGUUAAGGAACUCGGCAAAAUGACCCCGUAACUUCGGGAGAAGGGGUGCUCUUUAGGGUUAACGCCCAGAAGAGCCGCAGUGAAUAGGCCCAAGCGACUGUUUAUCAAAAACACAGGUCUCUGCUAAACCGUAAGGUGAUGUAUAGGGGCUGACGCCUGCCCGGUGCUGGAAGGUUAAGAGGAGUGGUUAGCUUCUGCGAAGCUACGAAUCGAAGCCCCAGUAAACGGCGGCCGUAACUAUAACGGUCCUAAGGUAGCGAAAUUCCUUGUCGGGUAAGUUCCGACCCGCACGAAAGGCGUAACGAUUUGGGCACUGUCUCAACGAGAGACUCGGUGAAAUCAUAGUACCUGUGAAGAUGCAGGUUACCCGCGACAGGACGGAAAGACCCCGUGGAGCUUUACUGUAGCCUGAUAUUGAAAUUCGGCACAGCUUGUACAGGAUAGGUAGGAGCCUUUGAAACGUGAGCGCUAGCUUACGUGGAGGCGCUGGUGGGAUACUACCCUAGCUGUGUUGGCUUUCUAACCCGCACCACUUAUCGUGGUGGGAGACAGUGUCAGGCGGGCAGUUUGACUGGGGCGGUCGCCUCCUAAAAGGUAACGGAGGCGCUCAAAGGUUCCCUCAGAAUGGUUGGAAAUCAUUCAUAGAGUGUAAAGGCAUAAGGGAGCUUGACUGCGAGACCUACAAGUCGAGCAGGGUCGAAAGACGGACUUAGUGAUCCGGUGGUUCCGCAUGGAAGGGCCAUCGCUCAACGGAUAAAAGCUACCCCGGGGAUAACAGGCUUAUCUCCCCCAAGAGUUCACAUCGACGGGGAGGUUUGGCACCUCGAUGUCGGCUCAUCGCAUCCUGGGGCUGUAGUCGGUCCCAAGGGUUGGGCUGUUCGCCCAUUAAAGCGGUACGCGAGCUGGGUUCAGAACGUCGUGAGACAGUUCGGUCCCUAUCCGUCGUGGGCGUAGGAAAUUUGAGAGGAGCUGUCCUUAGUACGAGAGGACCGGGAUGGACAUACCUCUGGUGUACCAGUUGUCGUGCCAACGGCAUAGCUGGGUAGCUAUGUGUGGACGGGAUAAGUGCUGAAAGCAUCUAAGCAUGAAGCCCCCCUCAAGAUGAGAUUUCCCAACUUCGGUUAUAAGAUCCCUCAAAGAUGAUGAGGUUAAUAGGUUCGAGGUGGAAGCAUGGUGACAUGUGGAGCUGACGAAUACUAA
RNAcentral lists this ribosomal RNA (2662 nucleotides) under Staphylococcus aureus. Its description in RNAcentral is "partial 23S ribosomal RNA". It matches the Rfam family "Bacterial large subunit ribosomal RNA". Lineage: Bacteria; Bacillati; Bacillota; Bacilli; Caryophanales; Staphylococcaceae. The record is from RNAcentral.